This 693-nucleotide long non-coding RNA is filed under the name Hordeum vulgare. Its description in RNAcentral is "long non-coding RNA (HVUL_LNC010298)". The record is from RNAcentral. Lineage: Eukaryota; Viridiplantae; Streptophyta; Magnoliopsida; Poales; Poaceae.
GUAAAUAUAGGCCAAAGGAGGGCACCGGAGGAGGUGGGACCCACCCAAGUGGCCUCUUGGCACAGACUAGGGCCAGGCCGCGCCCAUAGGUCGCCUGGGAGGCCCCUGGCCCCCCUCUUGCCCAUCUUCGGUGCUCAGGAAGCUUCUGUUAUGCUGAUUUUUUAUAUAUUAUUCUUGGAUUUUUUUGGUCUUUGGAAAAUGGGGUAAAAGCCCGUGCAAAAUAGACAUCAGCAGACAAAAACUGGCAGUGGGUGCACUGAGUUAGUAGGUUAGUCCAAAUAUGUGUGAAAUGAUAUAAAAGUGUAGCAAAACAUAUAACAAUGUCACCCAAAAGAUCAUGGAACAAGCAGAAAUUAUAGAUACGUUUGGGACGUAUGAGUACGCAUCCAAAGUACUCGCAAGACUGACAUCAGAACUAUAUUAAGUAUGCAUCAGUAUCAAAGGAAAUGGGUUAUGUGUGGACUGACUGCAGCAAUGCGAGAAUAGAGAGAAAGAACUAGUCCUAUCGAGGACUAGCAACUUCAGUGGUCUUGUAGCAAUAGAUGAGAGUAGAUCAAGUAACACAAUUCAAUAGUCAUAUUGUUGCAGCAAUAUUAAUUAAGGUCACACCCAUAGAUUCUUCCUCGAUUCCCUACGAGGAAGCAAUCCCGGAGCAAACAUUCCGGUUAAGUAACAAUUGUAGUUGUAUAAGAU